Arachis ipaensis is the source of this 413-nucleotide non-coding RNA. NCBI's taxonomy places the organism in Eukaryota, Viridiplantae, Streptophyta, Magnoliopsida, Fabales, Fabaceae. The record is from RefSeq and is a predicted model, not a curated record.
GAAAGCUUUUCCAUGAUUCCAAGGAAAAUGCAAAAACUCAGGAAUAAAGUUAGAAUAAGUAGAGUGUUGCCUAUAACUAUAGCAUUAGUGGUUGUGUUUUGUUUAGCUUGUAAUUUGUAUUUAGUGAUGAAAAUAUAAGGAUUUAGGGUUUCUUAUUUGUUUGGUAGGGGCGAGGGUAGUGGUGAAUAAUAGACGAAGGAGGGCAUUGCCCCAGAGAAGAUCGUUUGGGCGUGCUGGACUUGUGAGUACAGAUGUUGUUGCUCAGAGGAAGCUUCAAUGGCGUGCUAGCAAUACAAUCAAAGGUUGCAACCUGAUUAUGCAACCCUAAGUUGUCUUGAGCGAGGAUGCAAAGGCUGCGAUCCAUGCAACUUGUUCCUUUCCAUCGGGAAUGGAACAAGAAAUGCUGUUAAAAG